UGGUCUAGGAAACAUGGAUUGUGAAGAUUAGAUGUACCCUUGGACAGUACAACCUAUUGAAUGAACUGUGCAUCUAUUCUUCACUGUUUCAUUUGCAUAAAAUUAAAUUUGCCGUCUUCUGACUAAAGGCCGGGACACAGCAAGCAAACGUCAAGCCGUCGGUGAGCAUCUGUUGGGCUAGUUUUUUUGUUGCUGUUUUUGUUGUGUUCUACACGUUUGCUGUCGUCAGGCUCAAAAUGGCGUUUGGCUUCUGUUUCCAUGAUGUCACACUGGGUAGCUCCGCCCAUAGUGAAUCCUCAUUGGUCCAAGAUCCUGCCCCACAUAGAUCUACAGGUAAAUGUAAAACACAAAAUAUGAUUGUAUUGCUUUGCACAGUAUUCUUGCUUUCAAUGUGGACAUAUUACUUACCUGGUUAUAUGCUGAUUUGCUGUUGUUGUUGUUCUCAGUUACCACAGACCUCGGUUUCUGAGAAAGGACAGAAAACAUGUUAACCUUUGUAUAUCUUCAAUGAAGCCCUAGCAUGCAAUUGUAAAGUAUGUCUAAUUUAAAUAAAAUAUCCGACCAUCACAUACAUUUAGCAUGUCAGUGCAUA
RNAcentral lists this long non-coding RNA (592 nucleotides) under Sinocyclocheilus anshuiensis. RNAcentral's name for it is "lncRNA (ENSSANG00000022963.1)". The record is from RNAcentral. Lineage: Eukaryota; Metazoa; Chordata; Actinopteri; Cypriniformes; Cyprinidae.